RNAcentral lists this ribosomal RNA (465 nucleotides) under uncultured bacterium. RNAcentral describes it as "partial 16S ribosomal RNA". It matches the Rfam family "Bacterial small subunit ribosomal RNA", at positions 338 to 795 of the family's 1533-position model. The record is from RNAcentral.
CCUACGGGCGGCAGCAGUGGGGAAUAUUGCGCAAUGGGCGAAAGCCUGACGCAGCGACGCCGCGUGAGGGAUGAAGGUCUUCGGAUCGUAAACCUCUGUCAGCAGGGAAGAACGGUCACUGUGCUAAUCAGCAGUGAAUUGACGGUACCUGCAAAGGAAGGCCCGGCUAACUCCGGGCUAGCAGCCGCGGUAAUACGGAGGGUGGGAGCGUUAAUCGGAAUUACUGGGCGUAAAGCGCUCGUAGGCGGUACGUCAAGUCAAGGGUGAAAUCCCCGGGCUCAACGUGGGAACUGCCUUUGAAACUGGCAAACUAGAGUGUGUGAGAGGAUAGUGGAAUGCCAGGUGUAGCAGUGAAAUCCGUAGAUAUCUGGAGGAACAUCAGUGGCGAAGGCGACUAUCUGGCACAUAACUGACGCUGAGGAGCGAAAGCGUGGGUAGCAAACAGGAUUAGAUACCCUUGUAGUC